RNAcentral lists this unclassified non-coding RNA (354 nucleotides) under Hevea brasiliensis (rubber tree). The record is from RNAcentral. Lineage: Eukaryota; Viridiplantae; Streptophyta; Magnoliopsida; Malpighiales; Euphorbiaceae.
GAACCAAGCUUAGCGCUUGGAAGGAUUGAGAAAACUAUCUAUUUGGAGGCGUUGAUUAAAUCCAAUUCCCUUAAUGAUUAUGUGGGAUCUUAUUUCUCUGUUUCUGUUGUUGGUGGAUCAGGUUGGAUCUUGUCUGGUUGAGAUGAUGUGAAUGCUGUAAAAGAACCUUUUAACAAACAACUAUCAUGUUAAAUCAUCAAUAUGACAACUGUUAUGUUUAGGGCAUGCGUAUAAUAAAUUUAGAAACCAUUUGAAGAACUUGCUUGUAGUUGGACAUUUUUGAUAAAGUCUCUUUCGUUGUGUUGUGGCUAUAUAAUACAUGCUGAGAUACUGCAAGUAAUAUGCAUUUUUAAU